Molecule: non-coding RNA, 80 nt
Organism: Podarcis lilfordi (Lilford's wall lizard)
Lineage: Eukaryota; Metazoa; Chordata; Lepidosauria; Squamata; Lacertidae
Source: the annotation of a GenBank genome assembly
GCUUAAGCAAGGAUAGCUCAGCCCAGUAGAGUAUGAGACUCGUAAUAUCAGGGUCAUGGGUUUGAGCCCCACGUCGGGCA